GACGUAGGGGGCGAGCGUUGUCCGGAUUUAUUGGGCGUAAAGGGUUCCUAGGCGGCUGAGAUAGUCGGAUGUGAAAACCCCAGGCUUAACCUGGGGAGGCCAUUCGAUACUUCUCUAGCUAGAGUCCGGUAGGGGCGCAUGGAAUACCCGGUGUAGCGGUGAAAUGCUUAGAUAUCGGGUGGAACACCAGUGGCGAAGGCGGUGCGCUGGGCCGGAACUGACGCUGAAGAACGAAAGCGUGGGUAGCAAACAGG
RNAcentral lists this ribosomal RNA (254 nucleotides) under uncultured bacterium. RNAcentral's name for it is "partial 16S ribosomal RNA". It matches the Rfam family "Bacterial small subunit ribosomal RNA", at positions 524 to 776 of the family's 1533-position model. The record is from RNAcentral.